GACGAACCGUACGAACGUUAUUCGGAAUCACUGGGCUUAAAGGGUGCGUAGGCGGCCCGGAAAGUUGGGUGUGAAAGCCCUCGGCUCAACCGAGGAAUUGCGCCCAAAACUACCGGGCUUGAGGGAGACAGAGGUGAGCGGAACUUAGGGUGGAGCGGUGAAAUGCGUUGAUAUCCUAAGGAACACCAGGAGCGAAAGCGGCUCACUGGGUCUCUUCUGACGCUGAGGCACGAAAGCUAGGGGAGCGAACGGG
This 253-nucleotide ribosomal RNA is filed under the name uncultured bacterium. RNAcentral's name for it is "partial 16S ribosomal RNA". It matches the Rfam family "Bacterial small subunit ribosomal RNA", at positions 524 to 776 of the family's 1533-position model. The record is from RNAcentral.